This 341-nucleotide ribosomal RNA is filed under the name Pseudomonas sp. TTU2014-096BSC. Its description in RNAcentral is "bacterial SSU rRNA". It matches the Rfam family "Bacterial small subunit ribosomal RNA", at positions 1 to 344 of the family's 1533-position model. Lineage: Bacteria; Pseudomonadati; Pseudomonadota; Gammaproteobacteria; Pseudomonadales; Pseudomonadaceae. The record is from RNAcentral.
GAACUGAAGAGUUUGAUCAUGGCUCAGAUUGAACGCUGGCGGCAGGCCUAACACAUGCAAGUCGAGCGGAUGAAGGGAGCUUGCUUCCUGAUUCAGCGGCGGACGGGUGAGUAAUGCCUAGGAAUCUGCCUGGUAGUGGGGGACAACGUCUCGAAAGGGACGCUAAUACCGCAUACGUCCUACGGGAGAAAGCAGGGGACCUUCGGGCCUUGCGCUAUCAGAUGAGCCUAGGUCGGAUUAGCUAGUUGGUGAGGUAAUGGCUCACCAAGGCUGCGAUCCGUAACUGGUCUGAGAGGAUGAUCAGUCACACUGGAACUGAGACACGGUCCAGACUCCUACGG